CUAGCUACAGGCUUAACACAUGCAAGUCGAGGGGCAGCAUGGUCUUAGCUUGCUAAGGCCGAUGGCGACCGGCGCACGGGUGAGUAACACGUAUCCAACCUGCCGUCUACUCUUGGACAGCCUUCUGAAAGGAAGAUUAAUACAAGAUGGCAUCAUGAGUCCGCAUGUUCACAUGAUUAAAGGUAUUCCGGUAGACGAUGGGGAUGCGUUCCAUUAGAUAGUAGGCGGGGUAACGGCCCACCUAGUCUUCGAUGGAUAGGGGUUCUGAGAGGAAGGUCCCCCACAUUGGAACUGAGACACGGUCCAAACUCCUACGGGAGGCAGCAGUGAGGAAUAUUGGUCAAUGGGCGAGAGCCUGAACCAGCCAAGUAGCGUGAAGGAUGACUGCCCUAUGGGUUGUAAACUUCUUUUAUAAAGGAAUAAAGUCGGGUAUGCAUACCCGUUUGCAUGUACUUUAUGAAUAAGGAUCGGCUAACUCCGUGCCAGCAGCCGCGGUAAUACGGAGGAUCCGAGCGUUAUCCGGAUUUAUUGGGUUUAAAGGGAGCGUAGAUGGAUGUUUAAGUCAGUUGUGAAAGUUUGCGGCUCAACCGUAAAAUUGCAGUUGAUACUGGAUAUCUUGAGUGCAGUUGAGGCGCGCGGAAUUCCUGGUGUAGCGGUGAAAUUGCUUUAGAUAUCACGAAAGAACUCCGAUUGCGAAGGCAGCCUGCUAAGCUGCAACUGACAUUUGAGGCUCGAAAGUGUGGGUAUCAAACAGGAUUAGAUACCCUGGUAGUCCACACGGUAAACGAUGAAUACUCGCUGUUUGCGAUAUACAGCAAGCGGCCAAGCGAAAGCGUUAAGUAUUCCACCUGGGGAGUACGCCGGCAACGGUGAAACUCAAAGGAAUUGACGGGGGCCCGCACAAGCGGAGGAACAUGUGGUUUAAUUUGAUGAUACGCGAGGAACCUUACCCGGGCUUAAAUUGCAGAUGAAUUACGGUGAAAGCCGUAAGCCGCAAGGCAUCUGUGAAGGUGCUGCAUGGUUGUUGUCAGCUCGUGCCGUGAGGUGUUGGCUUAAGUGCCAUAACGAGCGCAACCCUUGUUGUCAGUUACUAACAGGUUCCGCUGAGGACUUUGACAAGACUGCCAUUGUAAGAUGUGAGGAAGGUGGGGAUGACGUCAAAUCAGCACGGCCCUUACGUCCGGGGCUACACACGUGUUACAAUGGGGGGGUACAGAGGGCCGCUACCACGCGAGUGGAUGCCAAUCCCCAAAACCUCUCUCAGUUCGGACUGGAGUCUGCAACCCAACUCCACGAAGCUGGAUUCGCUAGUAAUCGCGCAUCAGCCACGGCGCGGUGAAUACGUUCCCGGGCCUUGUACACACCGCCCGUCAAGCCAUGGGAGCCGGGGGUACCUGAAGUGCGUAACAGGGAGGAGCGCCCUAGGGUAAAACUGGUGACU
Molecule: ribosomal RNA, 1441 nt
Filed under: uncultured organism
Description: SSU rRNA
Rfam family: Bacterial small subunit ribosomal RNA
Source: RNAcentral